UCAUAUUUUGAUUCAUUUUCUCAUGAUAAGACAGAAAACAUAUUUCUUUUUUGUUAUUAGGUGCCUUAAUUAAUUUAAGGAACAAUGAAAAUCAACUUGCAUUUGAUUUGGCAAAAGAACCGAAAAUCGCUGCCCUUCUACAGUGUUCUGAUAUUUCAGAAAAUGGUGAUGACUAUUUGGAUGAUACAGAUGGAUCAGAAUCUGAUUAACCUCAAUGCUGUUUUUUUUUGAUAGUUUUUAUAUAAAAAUUUGGAUAAAGAAAAUUUGAGGGAUGAAACCUCAACAUUUGUAAUUAUAUACAUACGUUAUUCUUGAAGAUAAAACAAUACAAAUAAAUGCCAAUAUGGAAAAUAGACCAACCAAGUAAAUAGCAGAACUUCCUAAUUCGAUUUUAGAUCACUUCUUACUCAGAUGCAUGCAUUUCUAAAGAAAAAA
Octopus sinensis (East Asian common octopus) is the source of this 435-nucleotide long non-coding RNA. RefSeq lists it as uncharacterized. Lineage: Eukaryota; Metazoa; Mollusca; Cephalopoda; Octopoda; Octopodidae. The record is from RefSeq and is a predicted model, not a curated record. The transcript is spliced from 2 exons.